GAUGAACGCUAGCGGCAGGCCUAACACAUGCAAGUCGAGGGGCAGCGCGGUGUAGCAAUACACCGGCGGCGACCGGCGCACGGGUGCGUAACGCGUAUGCAACCUACCCACUCCCGGGGGAUAGCCCGCCGAAAGGCGGAUUAAUACCCCAUGGCCCCGGGGCGCCGCAUGGCGUCCCGGGUAAAGCUCCGGCGGGAAUGGAUGGGCAUGCGUGCCAUUAGCUUGUUGGUGGGGUAACGGCCCACCAAGGCUACGAUGGCUAGGGGCUCUGAGAGGAUGAUCCCCCACACUGGUACUGAGACACGGACCAGACUCCUACGGGAGGCAGCAGUGAGGAAUAUUGGUCAAUGGGCGGAAGCCUGAACCAGCCAUGCCGCGUGCAGGACGACGGCCCUACGGGUUGUAAACUGCUUUUCCGGGGGAAGAAUAAGGCCCAUGCGUGGGCCGAUGCCGGUACCCCGGGAAUAAGGAUCGGCUAACUCCGUG
RNAcentral lists this ribosomal RNA (486 nucleotides) under uncultured bacterium. RNAcentral's name for it is "bacterial SSU rRNA". It matches the Rfam family "Bacterial small subunit ribosomal RNA", at positions 28 to 507 of the family's 1533-position model. The record is from RNAcentral.